UCCGGUUGAUCCUGCCAGAGGUCACUGCUAUCAGUGUUCGACUAAGCCAUGCGAGUCAAAUGUUCUUCGGAACAUGGCGUACUGCUCAGUAACACGUGGACAACCUGCCCUAAGGUCUGGCAUAACUCCGGGAAACUGGGGAUAAUUCCAGAUAAACCAUAGAUACUGGAAUGUGCUGUGGUUAAAAGCUCCGGUGCCUUAGGAUGGAUCUGCGGCCUAUCAGGUAGUAGUGGGUGUAAUGUACCUACUAGCCUACGACGGGUACGGGUUGUGAGAGCAAGAGCCCGGAGAUGGAUUCUGAGACAUGAAUCCAGGCCCUACGGGGCGCAGCAGGCGCGAAAACUUUACAAUGCGGGAAACCGCGAUAAGGGGACACUGAGUGCCAGCACCAUGUGCUGGCUGUCCGCAUGUAUAAAUCACAUUGUCAGCAAGGGCCGGGCAAGACCGGUGCCAGCCGCCGCGGUAACACCGGCGGCCCGAGUGGUGGCCAUUAUUAUUGGGUCUAAAGGGUCCGUAGCCGGUUUGAUCAGUCUUCCGGGAAAUCUGACAGCUCAACUGUUAGGCUUCUGGGGGAUACUGUCAGACUUGGAACCGGGAGAGGUGAGAGGUACUACAGGGGUAGGAGUGAAAUCUUGUAAUCCUUGUGGGACCACCAGUGGCGAAGGCGUCUUACCAGAACGGGUUCGACGGUGAGGGACGAAAGCUGGGGGCACGAACCCGUUAUAUAUCCCGGUGUUUCCCACCCUAAAAGAUCCCCAAGUGUUUGGGAAUGGGGCACUUUUUCGGGUCCGCAGGAAACCCUAAAGGCACCCCCCUGAAAUUCCGCCCACAGGGUAAAAUUAAAGGAUUGGGGGGGGACCUUACAAGCGGGGGACCCCUGUGUUUAAUUGGGUUAACCGCCGGAAACUCCCGUGGGGGAACCCAAAUUUGUGGUCAGGCGAGAAGUUUUCCCCUAAAUCGUAGAGAGAAGUCCAGGCCCGUUCUCAUUUUAUACUGAAAACCUUCCUUUAAAUUCGGCCAACGAGGAGAACCUGUCCCCACUUUCGCCAGCAUUUCCUCGGGGAAGAUGGGUACUCCUGUGGGACCGGCGAUGUUAAUUCGGAGGAAGUUGCNGGCUACGUUAGUCCAGUAUGCCCCGAUCUCCAGGGCUACACGCGGGCUACANUGACNNGGACANUGGGUNCCUACCCCGAANGGGGGUNGUAUCUCAUNAAACCCGCCCUAGUUUCGGAUCGGGGGCUGCAACUCGCCCUCGUGAAGCUGGAAUCCGUAGUAAUCGCGUUUCAAUAUAGCGCGGUGAAUACGUCCCUGCUCCUUGCACACACCGCCCGUCAAACCACCCGAGUGAGGUAUGGGUGAGGGCACGGAUUCAUGCCGUGUUCGAACCUAAAUUUUGCAAGGGGGGUU
Molecule: ribosomal RNA, 1407 nt
Filed under: uncultured Methanolobus sp.
Lineage: Archaea; Methanobacteriati; Methanobacteriota; Methanomicrobia; Methanosarcinales; Methanosarcinaceae
Description: bacterial SSU rRNA
Rfam family: Archaeal small subunit ribosomal RNA
Source: RNAcentral